Molecule: long non-coding RNA, 1256 nt
Organism: Thalassophryne amazonica
Lineage: Eukaryota; Metazoa; Chordata; Actinopteri; Batrachoidiformes; Batrachoididae
Exons: 5
Source: RefSeq, a predicted model, not a curated record
AGUGACGCUAGCGUAUAAUGGCGGAGGAAAAAGAUCCCAAACUUAUCAUUUUCAUCCAGAGUGGGAGGAAGAUUAUUUUUUCGUUUAUUCAAAUGGCAAAUCCAUCUGCCUUAUCUGCAAUGCAAACGUGGCAUUACCGAAGAAAGGGAAUUUGGAGCGGCAUUUUAAGACGAUCCACAAGAGCUACGAUGCUAGCUUCCCGGCUAAAAGCCGGCUUGCAGCACAACAGGCCGUUUUCCCCCGGACAAAUAACACCAGUAAGGCUGCAACCACAGCUUCUUAUCGUGCCAGCCGUGUUCUGGCAAAAAGAAAGAAAUCAUUCAAGGAUGGUGAAAUUGUGAAAGAAGCUUUCAUGGAAGCUGCAGAUGUGCUCUUUGCCGAUUUUAAAAAUCAGAAGGAGAUCGUGUCUGCAGGAUGUGCAGCUCUCAAGAAAGUCUGUUGCAUGACGAUGCGAGUUCAUGGCAGAGGAUAUUGAUCGGCAACUGAGGAAUGAUAUUGAGAUGGUACGCAGCAAUGACUCGACAGACUGGAGUCAAAGGUGGACCGCAUACUACAACUACUGUGAGGAAUCAGGCUGCUGAAGAAGCUGACUGCAUUGGAGAUAAUGCAGGCCAGACUUAAAACAACGGAGGAGCUGGACCAAUUCAGCAAAACGCUGGAGGACCAGGAGUUUAGGAGGACAGUGGUGAAUCUGCUGAAACAGCUAUCUGGAUCAAUGCUGAACUCCUUUGCCAGGACGAUGCUCGGCGAAAUUGGGAUGUGGCGGUUGUAGGCUGGCGUCAGCCUCAAAGGAUGGAAAGGGAAGAAAGCCCUGCAGCCUCUCACUCUCUAGAGUUUUGAAGAAAGCCUUCAGCAACAAGAUGGAAAUUUUACCAGAUGCUAUCGAUGAUGCGUUAACUGAAACACUGCGCCAUGCAGCAAAGAGGGCAAAGAAGGAGGAUGAAAGAAUUGGUACUGGUGUUAAUGCUGAUUCAGAUGCUGGGGUGAAUGAAGCCAUGGGCGAUGAUGUGGAUGCUGAUGCCAUGGACCAUUGUGUAGUGAAUGAUGACGCCAUGGACGGCAGUGCCAUGAGUGAUGAUGCCAGAAUUAGUCAUGGGUCAGAUGAGAAGUGAUUCAUUUUAUACUGAAAACUUAUGUCUCCCCCUCUGUAAGGUGCGGGGGAGACAUGAAAUAAGUGCCCAAUUUUCCUUGCACAACAACUUUUUCCUGGAUGCCAUGAUCAUCAACUCGACUGGACUGACGCUAUGUUUGUUUUG